Molecule: non-coding RNA, 72 nt
Organism: Heterocephalus glaber (naked mole-rat)
Lineage: Eukaryota; Metazoa; Chordata; Mammalia; Rodentia; Bathyergidae
Source: Rfam
GAGGAUGUAGCUCAAUGGUAGAGUGCCUGCCUACCAUGCACAAGGCCCUGGGUUCAAUCUCUAGCACCACCA